This is a non-coding RNA of Elaeis guineensis (African oil palm), 2139 nucleotides long. The record is from RefSeq and is a predicted model, not a curated record. Lineage: Eukaryota; Viridiplantae; Streptophyta; Magnoliopsida; Arecales; Arecaceae.
GAAGUGCUCCAGUUGAUUACUUAGAGACUUGCAUAAUUGUACAUUCUCUGAAUGUAUGUUUUAAGCUUCCAUAUGGAACUCAUGCACCUAUAGUGUUCUCUGAUUCUCUUUUGCAAAUGUUUCAGAUCGCUACCCGCAACAAGCUGAUUAUAUCGAACACAUGGAAGAACAUCAAGCCUGUUUUUAAUCAGUUUCAUGCUGCCACCCUAGUUUUCAAUAAGUCUUGGACCUUCCUCCAGCAAGAAAACCUAAUAUCCGAACUUCAACAGCUGACAAUAUGGAGUUGCAUGGACAUUCCGCAUAUAGGGUGCCUGCCUGGGCUCAGUUUUCUUCAAACUCUGGUUAUAAAGGACUGUCCUACAAUCCAACUUCUUUCAAAUGAAAUGCUCCCAUCCAUGCUCAGGUCUUUGGAAGUAGAUAGUUGCGAGAACCUAAGGUCUGUACAGUUGGUGGACAUUCUCACAUCUCUUGAAACUCUGGUUAUAAGGGACUGUCCUAGAAUCCAACUCCUGCCAAAUGAAAUGCUCCCCUCCACGCUCAGGUCCUUAGAAGUUGAUAGUUGCGAGAACUUAAGGUCUGCACGGUUGGACAUUCUCACGUCUCUUGAAACUCGGGUCAUCACGGACUGUCCUAGAAUCCAACUCCUGCCAAACGAAAUGCUCCCAUCCACGCUCAGGUCCUUGGUAGUUCUUGGUUGCGAGAACCUAAGGUCUGUACAGUGGGACCUGCAGGAAGGCCCAUAUGCACUUGAUGUGCUGCGGAUUAUGAAUUACCGUACGUCCUCAAGCGUUACUGUUCGGUCUGGCUUCUUCUUUCAGAGACAAGUCAGGAUGCAAAGAACCAGCGAAAGCAAUGACAUAUCAGCUUUACAAGAAAGUAUAAGAAGAAUCGACAUUUGAUGCUUGAGCUUCCUUCUGGUUGUAGCUCACAGUGCCCAGUACAAAUCAGUACAGAACCAUCGACAAGGAGUUUUAGGCAAUGAUGAGAAGCUGCUUCUGUCAAUCUACGCUUACCUCCUCAAGAAUGGAUUUGAAGUGAAGAGUUUCUUGGUGCAAUGCUGUCCUUAUGCAAGGAUCGGUUGGCAGAUUCCUUGCAGUUGUGUGACUGUUAUGUUAGUGGUGCUGGAUAUUUGCAUGGACCAUUUUUUUUUAAAUCUAAAUCCCUAGGAUCUGUAUGUACUCUAUGAUUUUCCAAAUGUACCUGCUGCAUUUUAUAAUCUUGUAAUAUAAAGCAUGCCAUCUGUGAUACAUGUGGUCUUAGAUAUGCAGAGAUGUGGAGCUUCGUUAGCGCACUCCAACUGUGGAGUUAGCGGAACUCCGACCUUUUGUAUUUUGCUGUGUAAGCUUCAUGAACGAAAUAGAGAUAUCUGAGAUGGGAAUUAUCUACCUCAUUGCCACCGCCUCCAAGCACAACAAAGGAGCUCGAAAGCCUAUAUUAUCUGCUGCAUUCGGUGCAUCCCCGAAGGUGUGAGGAUAAACCAAACAUACUCGGUGAGAUCCUUUUAUCAUUUCAUCAAGAGUGGUAGUGUUCUCUUCCCAUAUUAUGGUGACAUGUGGAAAGUGAAUGCACCUGAAAAAUCAAAAUCUUCUGCUGGUUGGUGCUCAGAAAUUGAUUACAUGCGGUAGAUGUUCCAAGAAGAAAGGAAUGGCAGGAUUCCUACUUGUGUUCCUCCAUGGUGCAGCAGAUGAGUUAGGAAGCCAUCCGUUCCUGCAUUGCUCUUAUAGCAAGAGCAUUUGGUUCAUGGUCAAGAUUUGUGGGAAAAUUAAAUAUCAUCCUCCAUCCCUUCUUUUCUUGUGGACGUCUUGGCGAUCAAAGAGCAUCAAAAAAAAAAAAAAAAGCUUUAGGAGAGGAUGGGAUCAGUUAUCCUGUGAACAAAAUGCUUUAGUCCUGACAAUUUAUUGGAAAUUAUGGCGUGAACAAAAUGCAAGAAUUUUUCUCAAGAGAAGUCAUCCUGUGACUCAGGCCCUCAGGAAUGCAGUGAACGAAUUCAUUGAUUGGGCCGCCUUAUAUUCUUCUGGAUCUCGGCAGUUGCAUGAUAUGAUGUCAAGAAAGCUCUCCUCUCUGCUACAGUGCCCUGUUUAAGUCCCUUUGCUUCCGUGUCUCUCUCUUCUUGUUGGGAAAUUCUUUUUUUUUCUUUGG